RNAcentral lists this ribosomal RNA (405 nucleotides) under uncultured bacterium. RNAcentral's name for it is "partial 16S ribosomal RNA". It matches the Rfam family "Bacterial small subunit ribosomal RNA", at positions 28 to 526 of the family's 1533-position model. The record is from RNAcentral.
GACGAACGCUGGCGGCGUGCUUAACACAUGCAAGUCGAGCGGAGCGGCGAACGGGUGAGUAACGCGUGAGUAACUGCCCCCCUCUCUGGGAUAACAGUUGGAAACGGCUGCUAAUACCGGAUAGUGGGGGAUGACUCGCGUCCUAUCAGCUUGUUGGUGGGGUAGUGGCCUACCAAGGCGACGACGGGUAGCCGGCCUGAGAGGGCGACCGGCCACAUUGGGCUGAGAUACGGACCAAGCAACUACGAGAUGCAGCAGUGGGGAAGAUUGAACGAUGGGAGAGACCCUGAUGAAGAAACGCCGCGUGAGGGAGGACGGGCUGCGGGUUGUAAACCGAUGUCAACAAUGACGAGGUGGUGGCACAAGAAACACAAGGUAACUACGGGCCAGGAGCCGCGGUAAUUC